This 1290-nucleotide long non-coding RNA is filed under the name Olea europaea subsp. europaea. The record is from RNAcentral. Lineage: Eukaryota; Viridiplantae; Streptophyta; Magnoliopsida; Lamiales; Oleaceae.
CUUCUCUCUCCAAAGUUGCUUUAUUCUCUCUCUUCAAAACCCACAGAAAUCCACAAAUCCAACUGUACAUAUUCGGUGGUGUCGUCGCAUUGAACUUUCGCAAACGGUGUCGACGACGUAGGAUCGACGAGCUCCGAUCGCCAUUUGAAAACGACGUUUUAAAAACAAUAACAAGCUCCAGUUAUUAAUAUUUCUUCAUGAUUUGCAGUUCAUAAAAUCGGCCUGUUAUAUAUAUUUUAAUCACGAUAUAUAAACCUCAACUUCUUCUUGGGUCAUCCCUUCCUUCCAUGAAAUUGCAAUUUUCAUAAGGACGUUAUAAAAUCGAUCUGUUUGUGAGUUCGUGAAACUGCAAUUUUUUUCAAAAGAAACGUGUUUUUGAAAAACUGCAAAAAAAAAAAAAAAAAUUGAACCCAAUUGGCCUGUUAUUAAUAUAGCUUCAUUCCAACGAUUUCUUGUUCCACACUGCACAUUCCCAGAAUUUCAUGUGCAUUUUUGGGUUAUUUUGUGUUGUGGUUUUCCCUUCAACUUCAAAUUAAAGGUAUCUUUUCGCAUUUCUUACAAUAAAUGUGCAAUUCUUGGGGGAAUUUAGAUGAACAAUCUGAAAAAAAGAUUUCACUUUGGGCAAUGGGAUAUUAAGAGAUCUGAUAUUUAGAGUUUGAGGUUCUUGAGGCAAUCUUGAUAUCUCUAAAGUUUCAACAAUUUAAAUGUAUCACAUUUUCUGGGUUUUAGGCAUUUGGUGUAAUUAUAUGCAAGUUCCAGUAUUGAAAAACAAAAUAUUUUUUAUUUGAUUCACUAUAUUUGUUAUUGACUGCUAUGAGUCCUGGUAUCUGAAUGAAACAAUCUACUCAGUUGAGUUGUUUAAAGCUUAUAGGAUUUUCUGUUUUCAUGAGUUCUGGUCUUAAUUGUGGGCAUCUUUUCUAUAUUGGCUCCCUUGCUGCCUUUGUGCUUGGUUUUAGUAUUGGCAUUAAAUCUAAUUUGUGUAUCGUAUGUUUUAGGAGAAAGAUAACGAUAAUAAAGGAAAAUUAUUCCUUUGUUGUGGUCGGAAUUGUGAAUUUUGGGAGUGGGUUGUAAAAGAAAAAUCAAGAGCUGAAUGUAGUCGUGGCAACACUACCGCCCCUACCACUGUGAUGGACAACAUAGAUGAAGAAAUGUCGCGUGUGUUUCAAUCUAGAGUUAGGAUAAGUGAUGAAGAAGAAUUACAGAUUUUGGUGAAUGUGAAUGUGAGCAUCCGGACGGAAAGAAGAACCACGGAAGUGAAUGCAAAAAGGAAGCGGCCUACUUGACAUGUUG